UCGAUCAUGGGUGUUUUUGCUCACGAUGAUGAGAACUCCUCCACAUUGGCUCCAGCAAUAUUGUACAAAGCUCUGACCAAAGAUUCAGACAGAAUCAUCCCAAAGGUUCUUCCUGUCAUCCAGAGCAUUGAAACUAUUGAAGGAAAUGGUGGACCUGGAACCAUCAAGAAGCUAACAGCUACUGAAGGUCAGUGUACAUAAAUAUUAAUAAUGUUAAUUUCUCUUAAAACACGAGUCUUAAUCCUUUUGUCUGUAUGAGUUUGGUUAUUUGAUGUUUAACUUUCUUGGUUAACACUAUAGUUGGUUUUUGAGGUUUCUGAUGUUUUAUUAAUAGUUAGAUGGAGGAUUUUGGCCUAUUUAGAGGAGACUAAGGUUAAGAUUUAUUUUUUUUAAUAAGGAUUUGACCAUCUUGAAGUGGUUCAUAUUUAUUUAUUUUCUUUUAUUGAUAAAAAAAAUUAAUAAUGUUAACUUCUUUUUUGCUAAUAUUUACUUUUAGCAUAUGUUCGUUACAAAUUGAGUGUUGCAGAUCCAUAUCUAUAAGUAUGUGCAAAUCUCAUUUUAUAAAUCAAUUUUAUGGGAUUUAACUAGAUUUAAAAUUUACUCUGUGUUGAAUUUGAGUUAGGUUCUGAAAAGGGUUUGUUUUGAUUAUGCAUACAUACAUGUAAUUCAGAUUGUUUUAUUUAAAAUAAUUAUGAUCAAAGUUACUCUUCUUCACUGUACAUUUAUAUGUUUCUUACUUAGUAACAAAAGAUCAAAGUAAAUUUAACUCUAAACCUAUAGAUAAAACUCAAAAUUAAGUUUUUCUUUUUAGAAACUGAUUUCAAGCUAGCAAAGAAUAAGAAUGUUUUUAAUAGUAAAAUUUAUCAUAUUAAACUUUUUGAAGGGUAAGUUUUUGUAUUAUGAUUAAUGUCUUAAACUUUUAAUUUAUUAAUUUAUAUGAGAUCUGUUAGAAAAUGAGAUAGAUUUUCUGAAAGUUUUGUCGGGUAGACUUUUUAGUUAUUUUUAAGAAGGAUUUUCUUGAAAUAACUCUAUUUAUUUAUUUAUUUUUACUGAUAAAAAAAAAAGUUAGAUUUUAAAGAAAAGUAAGUAAAGAAAAUUAUGAUUUUUUGCAGGUGGCGUAACAGGUUUUGUGCUGCAGAGAAUCGAUGCAGUGGACGAAGCAAACCUGGGAUUCGACUACAGCAUAGUGGGAGGACCAGGGUUGCAUGAAAGUUUGGAGAAAAUCACACUUCAGACGAAGGUGGUGGCUGCUCCUGAUGGUGGCUCCAUCUCCAAGGUCUCUGUCAAAUACCACACCAAAGGCGAUGCACCUCUCUUAGAGGCAGUGCUCGAAGAGUCAAAGGCAAGAGGAACUGGUUUUUUCAAGGCUGUUGAGAGUUACGUGUUGGCAAACCCUGCAGAAUACUAGAUCCAUCUAUGCUUCUUCAACAUCUGCUUUGCUUUCGUUUCCUUCUGAGUUUGUUUUAUGUAACAUUCUUAAGUGUUACAAUGGUGUUCCUGAAUUUCGUGUGAUCCAAAAUCUACGUCUCUUGUUGGUGUUCAUGUCGAUUUCCAUCUGUAUUCUGCAAUAAAUAUAUAUAUUAUAAUGCAAUGGAAUCUUAUACUAUUGCAUUUUCUAUUCUUUCUUUCAAUUGCUCUUCUCAAACUCUGCAAUCAACCAUCAUGUUAUAUAUAUAUAUAUAUAUUACUCUAUAAUUCUGGUUAUUAAGGUUUUUUUUUUCCUAGCAAUGAUUUGUAGUAUUUUAUUUUAUCAAUAAUAAAGAUUAAAUAAAUAAGAAUCACUUUAGAAUAAUUCAAUCCUGGUAAAAAACUAUACUCUGAACGAGUACAAAACAAAGACUUAAAUCAACAUUUAGUUAAACAGUUAAGAUUAAUCAAACACACAAAAUUAUCAUUAAAUCAUAUUCAUGCAAACUAGAUGGUUAAGACACCAGUUAAAAUAAAAAAAAUAAGCUAACGGCACCUUAGAGAUAACUUAUGACCAAACUUUUGAUUGAAUAAGAACAAACAUUUUCAACCCUCCAACACCUCUUCUUUAAAAAUUAUCUUAUUUCUGAGAUUCCAAAUCUCACUAAUCCUGAAACUGAAACAAACACCAAGUAAGUGAUUUGUAAGGAUUUGUUAAGAAAAUUUUGAAAAGAAAAUGAAAUGAGAAAAAAAAAUGGUUGAUUUCUAUUAUAUUAAAUAUUUGAUUUUUUUAUUUAUUGGAUUUUUAAAAUAUUAUUGAAAAUUAAUAAAUAAUAUUUUAAAAUAAUUAAUGUUUUUAAAAAUGAUUUAUUUUCAUGUUCCUAACUAGUUUUUCAUUACAGAAAUGCUUACAUUUUAAAAAAAAAAUAAAGACAAUUUUGGCAUUAUAAUAAAAAUAAUCUACCAACUUUCAUUAUUCAAUCACGUAUAUUAAUUAAUUUUCUAGUCAAAUCUAUUAUCCUUUAUUAAAACCAAACUACGCUUUCAUUCACUUUUUCUUUAAAUCGUUACAAACCAAAUAUCUACUUUCCACAGCCUAAUCAAAUCAAAGAGAACAUAAAACCAAAUAGAAGAUAAAAGACAAAAAAAAUUAUGAAUGCAAGAGUAUUGUACCAAAAAAUUUAUAAUUCUUUAUUUAAACGCAUAUAAGAAUAAACAUAUAUCAUGUUGUUUGCCACAAGAACUACACCAUUUUUUAUUAAAAAAUAAUAUAUAAAAAUUGAAAAAAAAAGAUAUAAAUGGGAGCAGUUGAGAUGCUCCAAUCCAUUUAUAAUUAUUGAUUAUACAUAAAAACCAUACACCAUAUGACUCUUAAUUUAAGUUUAUUACUUGAUUACAUAAUCAAAGUACCUAAGUAGUUAUUACAUUUGUAUUAAAAGAAGUUUAAUUAAUUAAUUAAUAGACCUGAUUUGUACAGGUAAGAAAAGGAUAUUUAAUAAUCUUAAUUAAUUAAUGCCGAUAAAAAUAAUAUUAAUUAAUUAAUGAUACAAUAUAGAGUUUGCUUGGAUUAUAUUAUGAUAUAAAACGUCUACAUAAACUUAUAUAUAAACUAAUCACUCGUUUAUUUUGACUUUUCGUUAAUCAAUCAGAUUACUCCAAAAACAUUCAAACUAAUUAUUGAAUAAUAGUAAUUAUUCCCACUUCCAGCAAUAUCAAAUGCCAUGUUUUCAUGAAAGAAAGAUUAUAAAGAUUUAUUUAUAUUUUAUGUUGUUAUUUUGGGUAUUACAGUUUAUUUGGUUGUGAUGCAUGUAGCUUCAAUUAAUACUUGAUUUCAGUGGGAACAAUACAUCACAUUCUACAAC
RNAcentral lists this long non-coding RNA (3269 nucleotides) under Phaseolus vulgaris (common bean). RNAcentral describes it as "long non-coding RNA (PVUL_LNC001347)". Lineage: Eukaryota; Viridiplantae; Streptophyta; Magnoliopsida; Fabales; Fabaceae. The record is from RNAcentral.